GAUGAACGCUGGCGGCGUGCCUAAUACAUGCAAGUCGAGCGAACAGACGAGGAGCUUGCUCCUCUGACGUUAGCGGCGGACGGGUGAGUAACACGUGGAUAACCUACCUAUAAGACUGGGAUAACUUCGGGAAACCGGAGCUAAUACCGGAUAAUAUAUUGAACCGCAUGGUUCAAUAGUGAAAGACGGUUUUGCUGUCACUUAUAGAUGGAUCCGCGCCGCAUUAGCUAGUUGGUAAGGUAACGGCUUACCAAGGCAACGAUGCGUAGCCGACCUGAGAGGGUGAUCGGCCACACUGGAACUGAGACACGGUCCAGACUCCUACGGGAGGCAGCAGUAGGGAAUCUUCGGCAAUGGGCGAAAGCCUGACGGAGCAACGCCGCGUGAGGGAUGAAGGUCUUCGGAUCGUAAAACUCUGUUAUUAGGGAAGAACAAAUGUGGAAGUAACUAUGCACGUCUUGACGGUACCUAAUCAGAAAGCCACGGCUAACUACGUG
Molecule: ribosomal RNA, 497 nt
Filed under: uncultured bacterium
Lineage: Bacteria
Description: partial 16S ribosomal RNA
Rfam family: Bacterial small subunit ribosomal RNA
Source: RNAcentral